AGACAAAAAACAUGGUGUUAUCAAUCAUGUAAUAGUUAGGAUAAUCAAUACAAGAAACUUUGUACAAUAAUAACAAGAUCAACUAACAAGAAAUGUUCAUAUUAUUAACAUCUUUGUACAUGCCUUUAUUUACAAAAUGAAAUCCUGUAAGGGGAAGAAUCGCUGACUUGAUAGACCAGCCAGGUUCUCCUACACUGGCCAGGUUCUCCUACACUGGCCAGGUUCUCCUACACUGGCUAGGUUCUCCUACACUGGCCAGGUUCUCCUACACUGGCCAGGUUCUCCUACACCAUCUAGGUUCUCCUACACCAUCUAGGUUCUCCUACACCAGCUAGGUUCUCCUACAUCAGCUAGGUUCUCCUACAUCAGCUAGGUUCUCCUACAUCAGCUAGGUUCUCCUACACCAGCUAGGUUCUCCUACAUCAGCUAGGUUCUCCUACACCGGCUAGGUUCUCCUACACAGGCUAGGUUCUCCUACACCAGCUAGGUCCUCCUACACUGGCUAGGUCCUCCUACACCGGCUAGGUUCUCCUACAUCAGCUAGGUUCUCCUACACCGGCUAGGUCCUCCUACACCGGCUAGGUCCUCCUACACCGGCUAGGUUCUCCUACACCGGCUAGGCCCUCCUACACCGGCUAGGUCCUCCUACACCGGCUAGGUUCUCCUACACCGGCUAGGUUCUCCUACACCGGCUAGGUUCUCCUACACCGGCUAGGUUCUCCUACACUGGCUAGGUCCUCCUACACCAGCUAGGUACUCCUACACCAGCUAGGUCCUCCUACACCGGCUAGGUCCUACUACACCAGCUAGGUCCUCCUACACCAGCUAGGUUCUCCUACACUGGCUAGGUUCUCCUACACCGGUUAGGAUAUCAUAUUUUGAAUACAACAUCAAAAGACAGAAAACAACAUUGUCUAUUUCAUACUCAUGCUUAAUAUUAAAUCCAUGAACUGAAGUGAGUAUUUUCUUAAGGAAUUCAGAAUGAAAUCCCAUAUUAACACGUCAUUUAUAAUAUACACAUAUAUUUAGUGAGGUAUUUGUAGUGACACAGAAGUUUGUAUAUUGAGUGGUAAGUGCAGUGGAACUGUUGCCGCGAACACCUGAUAGACAAAGGUGGAGAUGGUAUGUUAGACUGAGACAGAAUACAUAUAGAAGAAACAAGCUGGUAGUUACU
This is a long non-coding RNA of Haliotis rubra (blacklip abalone), 1174 nucleotides long. RefSeq lists it as uncharacterized. The transcript is spliced from 3 exons. The record is from RefSeq and is a predicted model, not a curated record. Lineage: Eukaryota; Metazoa; Mollusca; Gastropoda; Lepetellida; Haliotidae.